GCCUCCCCCCUGGGCCGCGCACCUGGCCUCCGUGGGCCCUCCUGCCCUGGCGCCGGACUUCCGUGUCCCUUCACCUAGCCCGGGCGCCUCCUGCCAACACCCUGAGUCAAGCUGGGGGUGGGGCUCUGGGUGCGUCUACACUGGGCCCGCACCCGGCCAGGAGUAAAUGCAUUUACUGGGUCACGGCGUGACCUGGCUAGACAGACAGGGCCGCGCCCAGCGGAGUGAGAGAAGGCGUUGCCUCCUUUAAUUUCUCAAUCUUCCGUUCUCUCUACACGCGUUGGUUAAAAUCUAUAAAAAUGCAGAUCCUUCACCCCACCCACAUGUUCCGAUUCAGAAGCUGCGGGGAGAGGCUCAGAAUUUGUGCUUGGGCCGCACCCCAGGUGAGACUCAUGAAGAGACAGGUUUGCACGACUGGAGCACGCUUGGAGAUUACCUUCAUUGUGGGUCAUUUAUUAUGACAAAUACUUUCAAAGAAAAUACAUGAAAAGUUCCUCUGGAUGCUGUGUGACCAAUGGCAAGUGACCACUCUGAACCUCAGUCUCCUUAUCUGCAAAAGUGAGGUAGGAAGAGAAGGAGCCCCAGGGUGUCUGGGGAGGAGGGGAAGCUUCAGGCCACCUGGCCCCUCCUGAAAUAGAAGCUCCCUCGGGCAUCUGCAGAGAGCGUGUGCCAACUUGUCUGGGUUUUGAUGGAUGGGGGAUUGUUUUCUUGACUGGAAAAUAUUUGUGUUCCAAAGUUGGCGAGGCUUCCCUCCUGGAUUUUCUCAGCCUGUCAAAGAGCAGAGGAAAAGAGCCAGUGGGAGAGCCAGGGUUCAGAGAGACCAUGGCGGGAUGAGUAGGAGAGCCCGGUGUCCGCAUCACCUGAGUCUCGGUGUCCUUGUCUGUAACAUGGGGACAGUGCUGCUGCCUACCUCACUGGGCUGUUGGGAGAACAAGUGUGCAGCUUUACACACUGCAAAAUGGGGGCAUCUUGGAGUCUCAGACUCAAGGGUCCACCUGGGUCCCUUGGGGGCUUGUUAAAUGUCUUUGCCUUCCGGCAGUACUAUUCACAAGAGCCAAAGGUGGAAGUGACCCACAUGUCCAUCACUGGAGGAAUGGAUAAACAAAAUGUGGUCUGUACGUGCCGUGGAAUAUUAUUCGGCCAUGAACAAGAAUGCGGCCGAUUCAUGCUACAGCGUGGCUGAACCUUGAAAACCUUAUGCUAUGUGAGAGGAACCAGACACAAAAACCAUAUCUGAUUGCGUUUACAUGAACCGUCUGGAAUAGAUAAACCAUCCAUGGAGACACAUGCUAGUGUAGUGCUUGCCAAGAGCUGGGGGAGCAGGGAGCGGGGAGGGCCUGUUAAUGGGUGCGGGGUUGCGUGUGGGGUGAUGAAAAUGUUCUAGAAUUAGAUAGUGGUGCUGGUUGCACAACUCUGUAAAUAUACUAAGAAACCACUGAAUUAUACUCUUUCAAAGGGUAAACUUUAUAAUAUGUGUAUCAUUCCUCAAUAAAGCUGUUAUUGAAAAUGCCCCCGCCUAAGCUCCAGGCUCCGACUUUGUGACUCAUGGAAACCGCACACUCAACACACUCCUCCGGAAGUUGUAUUAACUGGGAAAAGUGGGAAGGGAAGCGAUUUGCCCCAAUCCAGUCCAGCUCUGAGCCACUCCCGGGAUCCGGAGAGGACUUCUGAAGGCCCAGCCUCACGCUGGGCUCUCGAAGUGGGGGAAGGAGAUGUCAAAGCCAGAUAAUGAGCUCCAUGGUCAGGAAUGAAGGGCUGGCGAUCAAAUACAUGGGUGGGGGUGGGGAGGGACAAAUCUCCAUGCAGAAGAAUUCCACGUGUUGUGGACAGAGAGAUGCUCCCCACUCUUGAAGUGUAGGCCCCAUGCCACUUCCUUCCAC
This is a long non-coding RNA of Equus asinus (donkey), 1880 nucleotides long. NCBI's taxonomy places the organism in Eukaryota, Metazoa, Chordata, Mammalia, Perissodactyla, Equidae. The record is from Ensembl.